GGGACACGUGGUAUCCUGUCUGAAUAUGGGGGGACCAUCCUCCAAGGCUAAAUACUCCUGACUGACCGAUAGUGAACCAGUACCGUGAGGGAAAGGCGAAAAGAACCCCGGCGAGGGGAGUGAAAAAGAACCUGAAACCGUGUACGUACAAGCAGUGGGAGCCUCUUAAUGGGGUGACUGCGUACCUUUUGUAUAAUGGGUCAGCGACUUAUAUUCUGUAGCAAGGUUAACCGAAUAGGGGAGCCGAAGGGAAACCGAGUCUUAACUGGGCGUUAAGUUGCAGGGUAUAGACCCGAAACCCGGUGAUCUAGCCAUGGGCAGGUUGAAGGUUGGGUAACACUAACUGGAGGACCGAACCGACUAAUGUUGAAAAAUUAGCGGAUGACUUGUGGCUGGGGGUGAAAGGCCAAUCAAACCGGGAGAUAGCUGGUUCUCCCCGAAAGCUAUUUAGGUAGCGCCUCGUGAAUUCAUCUCCGGGGGUAGAGCACUGUUUCGGCAAGGGGGUCAUCCCGACUUACCAACCCGAUGCAAACUGCGAAUACCGGAGAAUGUUAUCACGGGAGACACACGGCGGGUGCUAACGUCCGUCGUGAAGAGGGAAACAACCCAGACCGCCAGCUAAGGUCCCAAAGUCAUGGUUAAGUGGGAAACGAUGUGGGAAGGCCCAGACAGCCAGGAUGUUGGCUUAGAAGCAGCCAUCAUUUAAAGAAAGCGUAAUAGCUCACUGGUCGAGUCGGCCUGCGCGGAAGAUGUAACGGGGCUAAACCAUGCACCGAAGCUGCGGCAGCGACACUAUGUGUUGUUGGGUAGGGGAGCGUUCUGUAAGCCUGUGAAGGUGGCCUGUGAGGGUUGCUGGAGGUAUCAGAAGUGCGAAUGCUGACAUAAGUAACGAUAAAGCGGGUGAAAAGCCCGCUCGCCGGAAGACCAAGGGUUCCUGUCCAACGUUAAUCGGGGCAGGGUGAGUCGACCCCUAAGGCGAGGCCGAAAGGCGUAGUCGAUGGGAAACAGGUUAAUAUUCCUGUACUUGGUGUUACUGCGAAGGGGGGACGGAGAAGGCUAUGUUGGCCGGGCGACGGUUGUCCCGGUUUAAGCGUGUAGGCUGGUUUUCCAGGCAAAUCCGGAAAACCAAGGCUGAGGCGUGAUGACGAGGCACUACGGUGCUGAAGCGACAAAUGCCCUGCUUCCAGGAAAAGCCUCUAAGCAUCAGGUAACAUCAAAUCGUACCCCAAACCGACACAGGUGGUCAGGUAGAGAAUACCAAGGCGCUUGAGAGAACUCGGGUGAAGGAACUAGGCAAAAUGGUGCCGUAACUUCGGGAGAAGGCACGCUGAUAUGUAGGUGAAGCGACUUGCUCGUGGAGCUGAAAUCAGUCGAAGAUACCAGCUGGCUGCAACUGUUUAUUAAAAACACAGCACUGUGCAAACACGAAAGUGGACGUAUACGGUGUGACGCCUGCCCGGUGCCGGAAGGUUAAUUGAUGGGGUUAGCGGUAACGCGAAGCUCUUGAUCGAAGCCCCGGUAAACGGCGGCCGUAACUAUAACGGUCCUAAGGUAGCGAAAUUCCUUGUCGGGUAAGUUCCGACCUGCACGAAUGGCGUAAUGAUGGCCAGGCUGUCUCCACCCGAGACUCAGUGAAAUUGAACUCGCUGUGAAGAUGCAGUGUACCCGCGGCAAGACGGAAAGACCCCGUGAACCUUUACUAUAGCUUGACACUGAACAUUGAGCCUUGAUGUGUAGGAUAGGUGGGAGGCUUUGAAGUGUGGACGCCAGUCUGCAUGGAGCCGACCUUGAAAUACCACCCUUUAAUGUUUGAUGUUCUAACGUUGGCCCGUAAUCCGGGUUGCGGACAGUGUCUGGUGGGUAGUUUGACUGGGGCGGUCUCCUCCUAAAGAGUAACGGAGGAGCACGAAGGUUGGCUAAUCCUGGUCGGACAUCAGGAGGUUAGUGCAAUGGCAUAAGCCAGCUUGACUGCGAGCGUGACGGCGCGAGCAGGUGCGAAAGCAGGUCAUAGUGAUCCGGUGGUUCUGAAUGGAAGGGCCAUCGCUCAACGGAUAAAAGGUACUCCGGGGAUAACAGGCUGAUACCGCCCAAGAGUUCAUAUCGACGGCGGUGUUUGGCACCUCGAUGUCGGCUCAUCACAUCCUGGGGCUGAAGUAGGUCCCAAGGGUAUGGCUGUUCGCCAUUUAAAGUGGUACGCGAGCUGGGUUUAGAACGUCGUGAGACAGUUCGGUCCCUAUCUGCCGUGGGCGCUGGAGAACUGAGGGGGGCUGCUCCUAGUACGAGAGGACCGGAGUGGACGCAUCACUGGUGUUCGGGUUGUCAUGCCAAUGGCACUGCCCGGUAGCUAAAUGCGGAAGAGAUAAGUGCUGAAAGCAUCUAAGCACGAAACUUGCCCCGAGAUGAGUUCUCCCUGAGACUUAGAGUCUCCUGAAGGAACGUUGAAGACUACGACGUUGAUAGGCCGGGUGUGUAAGCGCAGCGAUGCGUUGAGCUAACCGGUACUAAUGAA
This 2509-nucleotide ribosomal RNA is filed under the name Escherichia coli. Its description in RNAcentral is "partial 23S ribosomal RNA". It matches the Rfam family "Bacterial large subunit ribosomal RNA", at positions 419 to 2908 of the family's 2925-position model. The record is from RNAcentral. Lineage: Bacteria; Pseudomonadati; Pseudomonadota; Gammaproteobacteria; Enterobacterales; Enterobacteriaceae.